Molecule: ribosomal RNA, 837 nt
Filed under: uncultured bacterium
Lineage: Bacteria
Description: bacterial SSU rRNA
Rfam family: Bacterial small subunit ribosomal RNA
Source: RNAcentral
AGAGUUUGAUCCUGGCUCAGAUUGAACGCUGGCGGCAGGCUUAACACAUGCAAGUCGAGCGGUAACAGGAGAAGCUUGCUUCUCGCUGACGAGCGGCGGACGGGUGAGUAAUACUUAGGAAUCUACCUAGUAGUGGGGGAUAGCUCGGGGAAACUCGAAUUAAUACCGCAUACGACCUACGGGAGAAAGGGGGCAACUUGUUGCUCUCGCUAUUAGAUGAGCCUAAGUCGGAUUAGCUAGAUGGUGGGGUAAAGGCCUACCAUGGCGACGAUCUGUAGCUGGUCUGAGAGGAUGAUCAGCCACACCGGGACUGAGACACGGCCCGGACUCCUACGGGAGGCAGCAGUGGGGAAUAUUGGACAAUGGGGGCAACCCUGAUCCAGCCAUGCCGCGUGUGUGAAGAAGGCCUUUUGGUUGUAAAGCACUUUAAGCAGUGAAGAAGACUCCAUGGUUAAUACCCAUGGACGAUGACAUUAGCUGCAGAAUAAGCACCGGCUAACUCUGUGCCAGCAGCCGCGGUAAUACAGAGGGUGCAAGCGUUAAUCGGAAUUACUGGGCGUAAAGCGAGCGUAGGUGGCUUGAUAAGUCAGAUGUGAAAGCCCCGGGCUUAACCUGGGAACGGCAUCUGAUACUGUUAGGCUAGAGUAGGUGAGAGGAAAGGUAGAAUUCCAGGUGUAGCGGUGAAAUGCGUAGAGAUCUGGAGGAAUACCGAUGGCGAAUGCAGCCUUCUGGCAUCAUACUGACACUGAGUUCGAAAGCGUGGUAGCAAACAGAUUAGAUACCCUGCUAGUCCACGCCGUAAACGAUGUCUACUAGUCGUUGGGUCCCUUGAGGACU